Molecule: long non-coding RNA, 267 nt
Filed under: Heterocephalus glaber (naked mole-rat)
Lineage: Eukaryota; Metazoa; Chordata; Mammalia; Rodentia; Bathyergidae
Description: lncRNA (ENSHGLG00100050515.1)
Source: RNAcentral
CAGAUGACUAUCCACCAAUAUUUGGCCCCAGGUCUAGAUGCAGUGCCUUCAGCAAUAGCAAGGAGAAUAUGGCAAAGAGCUAAAUCACAUUGUCCACUACUGUGCUUGUCAGGCUAUGAGGACCCCUUUAGGUAAGCAGAGGACUCCUAACAAUAAGGGUCAGUGACUACAUGCAUUGAACAAAAUCAUUCUCAGACCAUGAUCAUAAAAUGGCUAUUUUUUACCCUCCAAGCCAUUUUCUACUUUGCUUUUGAAGGAAAAAAGGUG